AAGAUGGUUGAACUGUCGAACCGGAACCAGGAAACACUGGGCUCUGCACAGCACGCAGGACUAACGGGAACACAGCCACGGGGCACCCGCGCGGCGCGCCCUCCCGCGCCAGCUCGAAGGCUUACUUUGGUCCCACCUCCUUUCCUCUUGCUCCUUCGAAUCCCUUCCCCCUCCGCCGUUUCCGGAUAGGAACACUUUGUAAAUUCUUUCCAAGUUGAAGCGUGGGACCAAUUUCGUCAACACAAUCCGGAAUGGUCAACAUGGCGGCGGCUGUAAGAUGCCUCGGUAGAGUCUUGAUACAUCAGCAAAGGCAUAGUCUUUCCAAGAUGGCUUCUCAGACAUCUCUUUAUCCUUGUUCUGUGUACGUUCUGGUGCCCAACAGACAUUUUGCUGCUGCUACAAGGCCUGCAAAGAAAACAAAAAAAGGUGCCAAAGAAAAAGCAUUGGAUGAGAAAAAAGAUGAGAUAGAAAAAAUAAAGUCAUAUCCCUUUAUGGAAGGUGAACCUGAAAAUGAUGUCUACCUAAAACGCUUAUAUCCAAGGCAGAUAUACGAGGUGGAGAAAGCUAUUCACUUACUUAAGAAAUUUCAAGUUCUGGACUUUACUAAUCCAAAGCAAGGUGUCUAUCUUGAUUUGACACUGGAUAUGACACUGGGGAAGAAGAAAAAAGUGGAGCCGUUUGCCAGUGUUCUUAGUUUGCCAUACCCAUUUGUUUCAGAGACCAGUAAAGUUGCUGUAUUUACAGGGAAUGCAUCAGAGAUAAAAAUAGCAGAAGAAAAUGGAGCUGCAUUUGCAGGAGGAACUAAUCUGAUUCAGAAGAUUUUGGAUGAUGAAAUUCAACCAGACUUUUAUGUAGCUGUUCCAGAAAUAAUGCCGGAGCUUAAUCCAUUAAGGAAGAAACUGAAAAACAGAUUUCCUAAGCUUACUCGAAAUUCCAUUGGCCGAGACAUCCCCAAAAUGCUUGAAUUAUUUAAAACUGGACAUGAAAUUAAGGUAGAUGAAGAAAGGGAGAACUUUCUGGAGACCAAAAUAGGAACAAAAAAGUUUGCCAACCCUAAAAUACAAACAUAUAAAACCUAAGCCUGGGAAGUUCUGGUUCCAAGUGAGAUGGUGUAAUAAUCACAUGACACCCUAUCUCUCUCAGUGAGUGCACCUAUUAUAAUACCUGGACAGAAGGCAUGGAGCAGCUAUUUGAAGACUCUGAAAAGUCAAUAGUAGCAGGUGAAUUAGGGAAGACCAGAAUUUAAAGUACCACCAAACUGGCGACAUCCUUUGGUCUAUCUUCCACACCAGAGGUCUGCAGACUGUGGCCUGUGGGCCACUUCCAGCUCUCCAGCUGUUUUUCUGGAUAUGUCAAGUGACCAGAUAGCUGCCAAUCUGCAAGCAGUUAUCAGUGAAGUUUGUAGGCAAAGACCGCUGAAUUUGGGACCCUUUGUGGUACGUGCUUUCCUUCGAAGUUCAACAAGUGAAGGUUUGUUACUAAAGAUCGAGUCAUUAUUGCCUAAAGAAGUA
RNA transcript from Orcinus orca (killer whale), 1511 nucleotides. It is a transcript of the gene named mitochondrial ribosomal protein L1, with no coding region annotated. NCBI's taxonomy places the organism in Eukaryota, Metazoa, Chordata, Mammalia, Artiodactyla, Delphinidae. The transcript has 11 exons. The record is from RefSeq and is a predicted model, not a curated record.